GUUGCCUGUCACCUUCCCCGCAGAUGCCACCGGUCAGGACGGUUGGGGCAAAAGCAGCCAGCAGGGGUUCCAUGAGCCCUGCCCUGUCUGCCGAGCACCCUGGUGCCCACCAGGUCCCGGCCCGGGGUUCUACUACUCCCUGGUGGCCCCCGUGGCAGAGCUGGGGGAGCCUUGUUGAGGAGGGGCCAGCUGGGGCCUCUGGAAAGUCGCCGGACAACCAAAAAGAUACAUCAAAGCAACACAGACCUCGGGUGUCUGCACAGUGGACGACGGUGGAUUAAAUUAAUGCUGUGGCAUGGGACAGCACACAUGACAGAGGAGAGGCCAGGAGUGUCCUUCCGCGUGUCUGUGCAUCUGUCCAUAGAGGCAUCCUCCGUGGGGGUCGGUGGCUCUCAGCACUGGGCCAGUGUCGCCUUCAUCUCUUCCAGCAGGUUGCUCAGCAGGGUGGAGUCGCUGCCCUUCCCAUCCACGGACACCGAGUGCUCGCCCUUCUUCACCAGCAGGCAGACGUGGUGGCCCUGGAUGGAGCGGCUGUACAUGGAGGCGCAGGAGUCCACUCGCUCCACCAUAGAAAAGUGGUGGUGAAAACAUAUCUUUGCCAGAAGGUUCUGGAAGGACAUACUGAUGCCAUCGACUCUGACUGAGCUCAUGCUCAGGUCCCCAGACCCCAGCAGCUUGGCAAAGGCAUCACUGUAGCAGGUUCUGUGUCUUACCCUGGCAGUUCUGUGGGUCUCACAGUCAUGCAGCCUGAAGGGUGAAGUGGAGCAUCUUCCAUAUUUUAAGAACCGUAUAUAUUUCCUUCUUUGUGGACUAUUAAUAUCUUUUGAUGAUGUCAGGGUUUGCAACGGAAUAGAUUUAAUACAGGACACAUAAUUUAUAGGAUUAUUUUAUAAUAUUUACCCAAAAAGUCAAAUGCAGAAGAGCGCAAGAGAUCUGUCCACAUGCUAGAGACCUGAAGAAUCCAGCAGAGGGCCUGGAUCCUGUAAUGUCCUCCACAAGUCCCUCUGGAGGCCCUGAGCCCGCAGCAGUCUCAUGCAAGUCUGUAUCAAGGACCUGCACCGGAAGGUCCAAAGGCCGGUGGUGGAAGCUAGAAAGUCUGCACUGGCAGCGUGAAGGAUCUGCACUGGAGCCAGGAAGCGAGGCUCGAGGCAAAGAUCAGAGCUCCCUUGAAGAGAAGAAGCAAAGACCUGAGCUCCUCUAACAAGAACAGCUGAGUUCUUAUCAGGGAAACCAGCUAUGGCAAGCUUCUUCAGGAAAAUCAGCAGCAUACAAUCUUCCCUUCCAGUUCUCCUUUCAUGCCAUUGGGAACAAUCCUCAGGUGGGUCUUCAAUGCCCAGAACCAUGCUGACUCAGUUCAGCUGGGCGUUCCCACUUAAACAGACCAUUAGUUAAUCCAUCACAGCCUUCAUCCAUCUUCCUGUUGGGUUAGUCUAUAUUUACAGAACCGAAAGUAUUAAAUACAUUUUAAAUGACUUCUGACAUGAUGUCUUACUUAGAAAGGCCCACCUUUCUAAAAUACAAUAAUGCAAUCCUCCCUG
RNAcentral lists this long non-coding RNA (1538 nucleotides) under Heterocephalus glaber (naked mole-rat). RNAcentral describes it as "lncRNA (ENSHGLG00100036815.1)". The record is from RNAcentral. Lineage: Eukaryota; Metazoa; Chordata; Mammalia; Rodentia; Bathyergidae.